CCAAACCGUUUCGUAAUCAGAUCUCAUUGUUAAUUAUAAAUAUAAAAGAAACGACUUUGUACAAAGCUGAAAACUUUCCCCUCGGAAAUCUAGAGAACAUCAACCAAACGACGAUGAAAAGGUGGGUUAUUUGCGGUGAAGUAUGAAAACGACACUUGUUGUAGUUCUUGUCGUCUGCGUGUUGUUGGCUUGUUUCAUUCUUCUUGAUGUUGAAGGUCAGGGCAGAAGUGGAGGAUAUCGUGGAGAAUAUGAUGGAGGAAUUAUUGGUGAAUAUGAUGGAGAAUAUCGUGACUAUGGAAGAUAUCAGGACUAAAGUAAAACUAUAAACGUCAACAGUUUAAGAUAAUCAGACCAGGAAUUUACAAGCGACUUAUCAUCUUGGAUUAUGUAUUUUAUUAGUAAUGUUUACAGAAACUUGUUAUAUCUGGUGUAGUUUAUAUUUUGUGAAGUAGAAUACUAGACAACCCAUAGAAUAGUUUUACAAUCAAUAAACUGUAAGCGAAUAAACAGUUGUAUACUUCAGUC
Long non-coding RNA from Limulus polyphemus (Atlantic horseshoe crab), 525 nucleotides. RefSeq lists it as uncharacterized. The transcript is spliced from 3 exons. NCBI's taxonomy places the organism in Eukaryota, Metazoa, Arthropoda, Merostomata, Xiphosura, Limulidae. The record is from RefSeq and is a predicted model, not a curated record.